CGAACGGGUGAGUAAUACAUCGGAACGUGUCCUGUAGUGGGGGAUAGCCCGGCGAAAGCCGGAUUAAUACCGCAUACGCUCUACGGAGGAAAGGGGGGGAUCUUAGGACCUCUCGCUACAGGGGCGGCCGAUGGCAGAUUAGCUAGUUGGUGGGGUAAAGGCCUACCAAGGCGACGAUCUGUAGCUGGUCUGAGAGGACGACCAGCCACACUGGGACUGAGACACGGCCCAGACUCCUACGGGAGGCAGCAGUGGGGAAUUUUGGACAAUGGGGGCAACCCUGAUCCAGCAAUGCCGCGUGUGUGAAGAAGGCCUUCGGGUUGUAAAGCAAUUUUGUCCGGAAAGAAAUCAUCCUGGUUAAACCCGGGGUGGAUGACGAGUCCGGAAGAAUAAGCACCGGCAGUA
This 405-nucleotide ribosomal RNA is filed under the name Burkholderiaceae bacterium AcOx33H. RNAcentral's name for it is "bacterial SSU rRNA". It matches the Rfam family "Bacterial small subunit ribosomal RNA", at positions 99 to 501 of the family's 1533-position model. Lineage: Bacteria; Pseudomonadati; Pseudomonadota; Betaproteobacteria; Burkholderiales; Burkholderiaceae. The record is from RNAcentral.